Molecule: ribosomal RNA, 303 nt
Filed under: uncultured bacterium
Lineage: Bacteria
Description: partial 16S ribosomal RNA
Rfam family: Bacterial small subunit ribosomal RNA
Source: RNAcentral
AGCAGAGCCGCGGGAAUACGUAGGGUGCAAGCGUUAAUCGGAAUUACUGGGCGUAAAGCGUGCGCAGGCGGUUAUAUAAGACAGAUGUGAAAUCCCCGGGCUCAACCUGGGAACUGCAUUUGUGACUGUAUAGCUAGAGUACGGCAGAGGGGGAUGGAAUUCCGCGUGUAGCAGUGAAAUGCGUAGAUAUGCGGAGGAACACCGAUGGCGAAGGCAAUCCCCUGGGCCUGUACUGACGCUCAUGCACGAAAGCGUGGGGAGCAAACAGGAUUAGAUACCCCCGUAGUCCCUGUCUCUUAUACC